This is a long non-coding RNA of Coregonus clupeaformis (lake whitefish), 2518 nucleotides long. RefSeq lists it as uncharacterized. The transcript is spliced from 2 exons. The record is from RefSeq and is a predicted model, not a curated record. Lineage: Eukaryota; Metazoa; Chordata; Actinopteri; Salmoniformes; Salmonidae.
GGACAACAUCUCCCCAUCCAACCUUUCCUUCCAGGCAUGGCCUUCCCCUUCUGCCCCAGCCACUAGAGAGAGGUGGACAACAUCUCCCCAUCCAACCUUUCCUUCCAGGCAUGGCCUUCCCCUUCUGCCCCAGCCACUAGAGAGAGGUGGACAACAUCUCCCCAUCCAACCUUUCCUUCCAGGCAUGGCCUUCCCCUUCUGCCCCAGCCACUAGAGAGAGGUGGACAACAUCUCCCCAUCCAACCUUUCCUUCCAGGCAUGGCCUUCCCCUUCUGCCCCAGCCACUAGAGAGAGGUGGACAACAUCUCCCCAUCCAACCUUUCCUUCCAGGCAUGGCCUUCCCCUUCUGCCCCAGCCACUAGAGAGAGGUGGACAACAUCUCCCCAUCCAACCUUUUUCCUUCCAGGCAUGGCCUUCCCCUUCUACCCCAGCCACUAGAGAGAGGUGGACAACAUCUCCCCAUCCAACCUUUCCUUCCAGGCAUGGCCUUCCCCUUCUGCCCCAGCCACUAGAGAGAGGUGGACAACAUCUCCCCAUCCAACCUUUCCUUCCAGGCAUGGCCUUCCCCUUCUAUCCCAGCCACUAGAGAGGUGGACAACAUCUCCCCAUCCAACCUUUCCUUCCAGGCAUGGCCUUCCCCUUCUGCCCCAGCCACUAGAGAGGUGGACAACAUCUCCCCAUCCAACCUUGCCUUCCAGGCAUGGCCUUCCCCUUCUGCCCCAGCCACUAGAGAGAGGUGUACAACAUCUCCCCAUCCAAACUUUCCUUCCAGGCAUGGCCUUCCCCUUCUACCCCAGCCACUAGAGAGAGGUGGACAACAUCUCCCCAUCCAACCUUUCCUUCCAGGCAUGGCCUUCCCCUUCUACCCCAGCCACUAGAGAGAGGUGGACAACAUCUCCCCCAUCCAACCUUUCCUUCCAGGCAUGGCCUUCCCCUUCUACCCCAGCCACUAGAGAGGUGGACAACAUCUCCCCAUCCAACCUUUCCUUCCAGGCAUGGCCUUCCCCUUCUGCCCCAGCCACUAGAGAGAGGUGGACAACAUCUCCCCAUCCAACCUUUCCUUCCAGGCAUGGCCUUCCCCUUCUGCCCCAGCCACUAGAGAGAGGUGGACAACAUCUCCCCAUCCAACCUUUCCUUCCAGGCAUGGCCUUCCCCUUCUGCCCCAGCCACUAGAGAGAGGUGGACAACAUCUCCCCAUCCAACCUUUCCUUCCAGGCAUGGCCUUCCCCUUCUACCCCAGCCACUAGAGAGAGGUGGACAACAUCUCCCCAUCCAACCUUUCCUUCCAGGCAUGGCCUUCCCCUUCUACCCCAGCCACUAGAGAGAGGUGGACAACAUCUCCCCAUCCAACCUUUCCUUCCAGGCAUGGCCUUCCCCUUCUACCCCAGCCACUAGAGAGAGGUGGACAACAUCUCCCCAUCCAACCUUUCCUUCCAGGCAUGGCCUUCCCCUUCUGCCCCAGCCACUAGAGAGGUGGACAACAUCUCCCCAUCCAACCUUUCCUUCCAGGCAUGGCCUUCCCCUUCUACCCCAGCCACUAGAGAGGUGGACAACAUCUCCCCAUCCAACCUUUCCUUCCAGGCAUGGCCUUCCCCUUCUACCCCAGCCACUAGAGAGAGGUGGACAACAUCUCCCCAUCCAACCUUUCCUUCCAGGCAUGGCCUUCCCCUUCUACCCCAGCCACUAGAGAGAGGUGGACAACAUCUCCCCAUCCAACCUUUCCUUCCAGGCAUGGUCUUCCCCUUCUGCCCCAGCCACUAGAGAGGUGGACAACAUCUCCCCAUCCAACCUUUCCUUCUAGGCAUGGCCUUCCCCUUCUGCCCCAGCCACUAGAGAGAGGUGGACAACAUCUCCCCAUCCAACCUUUCCUUCCAGGCAUGGCCUUCCCCUUCUACCCCAGCCACUAGAGAGAGGUGGACAACAUCUCCCCAUCCAACCUUUCCUUCCAGGCAUGGCCUUCCCCUUCUGCCCUAGCCACUAGAGAGAGGUGGACAACAUCUCCCCAUCCAACCUUUCCUUCCAGGCAUGGCCUUCCCCUUCUACCCCAGCCACUAGAGAGGUGGACAACAUCUCCCCAUCCAACCUUUCCUUCCAGGCAUGGCCUUCCCCUUCUACCCCAGCCACUAGAGAGAGGUGGACAACAUCUCCCCAUCCAACCUUUCCUUCCAGGCAUGGCCUUCCCCUUCUGCCCCAGCCACUAGAGAGGUGGACAACAUCUCCCCAUCCAACAUUUCCUUCCAGGCAUGGCCUUCCCCUUCUGCCCUAGCCACUAGAGAGAGGUGGACAACAUCUCCCCAUCCAACCUUUCCUUCCAGGCAUGGCCUUCCCCUUCUGCCCCAGCCACUAGAGAGGUGGACAACAUCUCCCCAUCCAACCUUUCCUUCCAGGCAUGGCCUUCCCCUUCUACCCCAGCCACUAGAGAGAGGUGGACAACAUGAAAGAGAGGUGUGGACAACAUUAAAGAGAGGUGUGGACAACAUGAAAGAGAGGUGUGGACAACAUUAAAGAGAGGUGUGGA